Molecule: ribosomal RNA, 200 nt
Filed under: uncultured bacterium
Lineage: Bacteria
Description: partial 16S ribosomal RNA
Rfam family: Bacterial small subunit ribosomal RNA
Source: RNAcentral
AGUGAACGCUGGCGGUAGGCCUAACACAUGCAAGUCGAACGGCAGCACAGGAGAGCUUGCUCUCUGGGUGGCGAGUGGCGGACGGGUGAGGAAUACAUCGGAAUCUACCUUUUCGGGGGGGAUAACGUAGGGAAACUUACGCUAAUACCGCAUACGACCUACGGGUGAAAGUGGGGGACCGCAAGGCCUCACGCGAUUAG